Molecule: long non-coding RNA, 230 nt
Filed under: Elaeis guineensis (African oil palm)
Lineage: Eukaryota; Viridiplantae; Streptophyta; Magnoliopsida; Arecales; Arecaceae
Description: long non-coding RNA (EGUI_LNC031792)
Source: RNAcentral
AGGGUGAGAACGGAGUUCACCCUAAAUAGACUGAAGUCCAGUACCUCACUCACUUCGGGUCUACCCGAAGAACAAGUUACAUCAGACUCAAGGUCCGCACCUCUCAUAUCAUCGCUUAAGCUCCAGGUGGAUGGAUUCGAACUCAACGCACUCAUGGUAAGGAUGGCAGGGAACUGACCUUUGGAAAUGGUGCGGCCAACGAAGAUAAGGGAUAGAAAGGGGUUAACCGA